UGGUUUUAAAAUCGAUGCGGAAGUGCCUAAAUUUACUUUUUAUUUUUUAUUUUUUUGAAAACCUUGAUCCCAGAGGAUGUCAGAUCCGCCACAAAAUACAGAAAUUCACUGUUCACAAGGACAGAGUCUCCCCUAUAUUUACACGGCGUCCCACAAGUACAAGAUACAAUCACAAUAUAUAACCAUACACAUACAAUCACCACAUCACAUAUACCAUUUUACAUUCAUUCAAUCACCAGCUUAUCAUAUUUUCAUCAUAAAUCCAUGUCUAUUAGUUUAAAACAUUUUCCAUUCAAAACUUAUUUUACUAAGAAUCGUGAAAAUCGAAAAAUUCUUUUUAAAACCGUUUCCCUCACGAAAACAUUUUUCUUUUAAAAAUACGCUACUACGAGGGAUAGAAAACCGUUUUCAUUUCAUAAGAAAUUCAUAAGACUUUCACAAAACCAAAUUUGUUCAAAUAAACGAAAACCAACUGAACCAUA
Molecule: long non-coding RNA, 482 nt
Filed under: Ananas comosus (pineapple)
Lineage: Eukaryota; Viridiplantae; Streptophyta; Magnoliopsida; Poales; Bromeliaceae
Description: long non-coding RNA (ACOM_LNC003271)
Source: RNAcentral